RNAcentral lists this transfer RNA (73 nucleotides) under Exaiptasia diaphana. RNAcentral describes it as "tRNA-Thr". It matches the Rfam family "tRNA". Rfam says of the family: Transfer RNA (tRNA) molecules are approximately 80 nucleotides in length. Lineage: Eukaryota; Metazoa; Cnidaria; Anthozoa; Actiniaria; Aiptasiidae. The record is from RNAcentral.
GCUUUGAUAGCUCAGUUGGUAGAGCAUUGCACCGGUAUCGCAAAGGUCGUGGGUUNGAAUCCCGUUCAAAGUC